This 460-nucleotide ribosomal RNA is filed under the name uncultured bacterium. RNAcentral describes it as "partial 16S ribosomal RNA". It matches the Rfam family "Bacterial small subunit ribosomal RNA", at positions 338 to 795 of the family's 1533-position model. The record is from RNAcentral.
CCUACGGGAGGCAGCAGUGAGGAAUAUUGGUCAAUGGACGCAAGUCUGAACCAGCCAUGCCGCGUGCAGGAUGACGGCUCUAUGAGUUGUAAACUGCUUUUGUACGGGGGUAAACCCCGAUACGUGUAUCGGUUUGAAAGUAUCGUACGAAUAAGGAUCGGCUAACUCCGUGCCAGCAGCCGCGGUAAUACGGAGGAUCCGAGCGUUAUCCGGAUUUAUUGGGUUUAAAGGGUGCGUAGGCGGGUUGAUAAGUUAGAGGUGAAAUGUCGGGGCUCAACCGUGAAAUUGCAUUUAAUACUGGUAGACUAGAGAAUAGUUGCGGUAGGCGGAAUGUAUGGUGUAGCGGUGAAAUGCUUAGAGAUCACGCAGAACACCGAUUGCGAAGGCAGCUUACUAAACUAUAACUGACGUUGAUGCACGAAAGCGUGGGUAGCAAACAGGAUUAGAUACCCUUGUAGUC